CCGCGGUAUUCUGACCGUGCGAAGGUAGCGCAAUCACUUGUCUCUUAAAUGGAGACCUGUAUGAAAGGCACCACGAGGGCUUAGCUGUCUCCCCUUCAAGGUCAAUGAAAUUGAUCCCCCCGUGCAGAAGCGGGGAUACGCUCGUAAGACGAGAAGACCCUAUGGAGCUUAAGACAUAAGGCGACCCACGUCAAUAAACCCCUCUAAAAGGAAAAGAACAAAGUGAACUUCGCCGAAAUGUCUUCGGUUGGGGCGACCGCGGGGAAAAACCAAACCCCCGCAUGGACCAAGGCCACAAUAGCCUUAAAACCCAGACCCCCUGGUCGAAUCAACAGUAUUUCUGACCACCAAAGAGCCGGCAAUGCCGAUCAACGGACAGAGUUACCCUAGGGAUAACAGCGCAAUCCCCUCCCAGAGCCCUUAUCGACGAGGGGGUUUACGACCUCGAUGUUGGAUCAGGACAUCCUAAUGGUGCAGCCGCUAUUAA
This 487-nucleotide ribosomal RNA is filed under the name Diaphus watasei. RNAcentral's name for it is "partial 16S ribosomal RNA". It matches the Rfam family "Bacterial large subunit ribosomal RNA", at positions 1931 to 2568 of the family's 2925-position model. The record is from RNAcentral. Lineage: Eukaryota; Metazoa; Chordata; Actinopteri; Myctophiformes; Myctophidae.